GUGUCAGCCGCCGCGGUAAUACGGGGGGUGCGAGCGUUGUCCGGAAUCACUGGGCGUAAAGGGCGCGUAGGUGGCUUGGUAAGCGCGUGGUGAAAGCCCGGGGCUCAACCCCGGGUCUGCCAUGCGAACUACUAUGGCUUGAGCACUGUAGAGGCAGGUAGAAUUCCGGGUGUAGCGGUGGAAUGCGUAGAGAUCCGGAAGAAUACCGGUGGCGAAGGCGGCCUGCUGGGCAGUGGCUGACACUGAGGCGCGACAGCGUGGGGAGCAAACAGGAUUAGAUACCCGAGUAGUCC
Molecule: ribosomal RNA, 293 nt
Filed under: uncultured bacterium
Lineage: Bacteria
Description: partial 16S ribosomal RNA
Rfam family: Bacterial small subunit ribosomal RNA
Source: RNAcentral